AUUUGAGUCUGUCGGCCAGGGGAAUUCCUGGCAGAGUGAUUUUUGAGACUACAGGACUGAAUCACAUUGCCAGGGAUUUCCAAUGGCUGCCAUGAAU
RNAcentral lists this non-coding RNA (97 nucleotides) under Oryzias latipes (Japanese medaka). RNAcentral's name for it is "microRNA ola-mir-23a precursor (ola-mir-23a-1)". Its record names the gene ola-mir-23a-1. The stretch from base 14 to 88 matches the Rfam family "mir-23 microRNA precursor family". RNAcentral also lists the same sequence under 1 other name. Lineage: Eukaryota; Metazoa; Chordata; Actinopteri; Beloniformes; Adrianichthyidae. The record is from miRBase by way of RNAcentral.